RNAcentral lists this transfer RNA (75 nucleotides) under Prevotella sp. RNAcentral's name for it is "tRNA-Arg". It matches the Rfam family "tRNA". Rfam says of the family: Transfer RNA (tRNA) molecules are approximately 80 nucleotides in length. Their secondary structure includes four short double-helical elements and three loops (D, anti-codon, and T loops). RNAcentral also lists the same sequence under 5 other names. Lineage: Bacteria; Pseudomonadati; Bacteroidota; Bacteroidia; Bacteroidales; Prevotellaceae. The record is from RNAcentral.
GGUCCCGUAGUUAAAUGGAUAGAACGGAGGUUUCCUAAACCUUUGAUCCGAGUUCGAUUCUCGGCGGGACUACUA